RNAcentral lists this long non-coding RNA (485 nucleotides) under Macaca mulatta (Rhesus monkey). Its description in RNAcentral is "lncRNA (ENSMMUG00000042904.2)". The record is from RNAcentral. Lineage: Eukaryota; Metazoa; Chordata; Mammalia; Primates; Cercopithecidae.
UCACAGGAGUUUUGGGAGCACAACCAGGGGCUGCACUUGGACCCUGCCAUGGGACGAGGUCUGCUCCUGUCUGCCUCCUGGGGGACCCCUCCUUGUGUGAGUCCCCUCUGAAGCCCUGCAAAACCUGGUCUGGGUCCUGAACAGCCCUGCCGAGGCCUGGCCUGUUGGACACAGGUGCCCAAAAUCUGCUCAGAGCACUCUGGGCCCUGUGGAGUGGUUCCUGUUCCUGGGGCGCUAAAGCGAAUGAGGGUGUUUCUCUGAUCCAUAAGAGCCUCCUGCCCGUUCACCCAUCCAUAGCCUCUGGGGACACCUUCAAUAGUAGGAAUCACUAGUGUCAGGUUGGAUCUACGAACACAAGACACAGAAACACCAGCUGGAGGAGCCCAGGAGGCCCAACAGGUGAGGUUAUCUACUGAACAGGCACGUUGCCCUAGUCUGUGGGUCACUGAGUGCCCGGACCAGGGCUUCAGGGGGUUCCGGCUGAG